Long non-coding RNA from Vespa crabro (European hornet), 1542 nucleotides. RefSeq lists it as uncharacterized. Lineage: Eukaryota; Metazoa; Arthropoda; Insecta; Hymenoptera; Vespidae. The record is from RefSeq and is a predicted model, not a curated record. The transcript has 2 exons.
CGCCGAAACCUUCGUAGCUAACAAAUCGUCUAUGGCAGCGCUUAGUUACGGAACUGCAACGACCUUCUUCUUACUUGCAUUGCACGUUACUAAAACGGUCGACUACACGAUACUUACAGACUGUGGAUUUACUUGCUUUGGUUCUUAUUUGAAAAAUAAACUGUGGCAGCAAAUACAGAGUGAACUUCCGAAAACAAAGCAAAUUAAAAAGUGUUCGUGUAAAUCUCGAAGGAAAAAUCGCAGUAAAAGUCGUGGCAAGGAUCCCAAAUUAUAAAAACACGCAUAACGUAUAAUAAAAUUAAAUAAAUUAAAAACUCUCACCCGAAAACGUAAUGGCUUUCAAUUUCCUUUCCCCUCUAUUUCUAUUCUUUCUCUCUUUCUCUUUUUUUUUUUUAUGAAAAAGAAGGCAUUUAUUUCAUCCGAACUGAAAUGUAAAGUACAAAUUGUAUAGAUAAUAUAGUGAUAAUAAUAUAAUAAUUAAUCGUUAAUAAUAAAUAUUAAUUCAAUUAAUAAUACGGUAUGUUCCAAAGUAUAUUGCGUUCAUAUACGUCUAUAUAUUUAUGCGAUACAAAUAUAUAUACGUAUACACUCGCACGAAUGUCCGUCUGUAUGUAUAUGUUUAUGUAUGUACGCGUAGUGUAUGCGUGUAUUGGUGUGUGUCUGUGUAUGCGUGUGUGUGUGUGUGUGUGUGUGCGUGUAUAUCGAAGUUGUACUAACGGGUUGUGUGACGUGUGUCGGUGGCAGCAUUACAUUAUGUAAUUAAUGAAUUAUAUAUUACAAUGAUUCCUCGUCUCGCCGACGGACGGCCGCAGAUUAAGUCCACGAUUACUUUUCCGUAUACUCUUCGACCUUUCCACGGCUUUGGCCCGCACAUAACGCGUGUCGUCGGCUGCGUUUUUCAAACGUGUCCGUUGAGAUCUCGCUUUUCUUCUUUCCCUUCGUGCGCACGAUUAGGCAGUGCAUAGAAAUUUAUAGCGGAUAUGUAGGAUGGCCGUGAAUUGUUUCCUAAGGCUUCCAAUUCUUUACUUUUCCUUUUUUUAAUCCUUCUUAGGCGGAAUUGCUGCUAUUCUCUGAUCACCGGAGAUGAACGAAGUAUCUUGAGUAUCGGCGAAUUAUCUCGCAAAGAUUUUACUUAUGAUGGGAUUAAACGUUUGGAAAAGGUUUUACGUGGACCAAGGAUGGGCUUGAUCGAAAACGACGGGGAUCUGGGAGUUCAUUUCUACAAAGUGGAACGAGCUUUAAGGAAUGUUUCCCUGCUACUACGGCCUUUCUAUUAAAUUCGUCGCGAUCUACGAUCUUUUUCUUACUUUUUAUUUUUUACUUUUUCUUUUUUCAUUUUUACUUCUCUUAUCCCUCAUUGUCAGUGCUGCCGGCAUUAGGAAAAUAAACAAACAAACAAACGAAUAAAUAAAUAAAUAAAUAAAGAUUUCACGAUUAAAAUGACGAUUUGUUCUUUGGUAAAGUAUCAAUUAUUUGGUAAAUCUUCGACGUACAAGUACAUAUAAAAAAAAAAAAAAGAAAAGAAAAGAAAAGAAAAGAAAA